This 391-nucleotide ribosomal RNA is filed under the name Boulengeromyrus knoepffleri. Its description in RNAcentral is "partial 12S ribosomal RNA". It matches the Rfam family "Bacterial small subunit ribosomal RNA", at positions 794 to 1384 of the family's 1533-position model. The record is from RNAcentral. Lineage: Eukaryota; Metazoa; Chordata; Actinopteri; Osteoglossiformes; Mormyridae.
GCCCAAUCGUAAACCUUGAUGAUAAGCUACAAAUAUCAUCCGCCAGGGAACUACAAGCGCAUCGCUCGAAACCCAACGGACUUGGCGGUGCCCCACACCCACCUAGAGGAGCCUGUUCUAUAACUGACAAUCCCCGUUCAACCUCACCACCCCUAGCCCCUUCAGUCUAUAUACCACCGUCGUAAGCUCACCCUGUGAAGGUUAAACAGUAAGCAAGAUGGGCACAACCCAAAACGUCAGGUCGAGGUGUAACAUAUGGAGUGGAAAGAAAUGGGCUACAUUUUCUGUCUACAGAAUACCACGAACAACGGCAUGAAAUCUGCCGUUCAAAGGAGGAUUUAGCAGUAAAAAGAAAACAGAGAGUUCUUUUGAAGCCGGCCCUGGGGCGCGC